GAACUAAGAGAUCCAAAAAAAAGCUUCUAACUUUAUUUUUAAGCAGUGAAACACUGUUUUUAGUUCU
Molecule: transfer RNA, 67 nt
Filed under: Pityogenes trepanatus
Lineage: Eukaryota; Metazoa; Arthropoda; Insecta; Coleoptera; Curculionidae
Description: tRNA-Ser
Source: RNAcentral